This 452-nucleotide ribosomal RNA is filed under the name uncultured bacterium. RNAcentral's name for it is "bacterial SSU rRNA". It matches the Rfam family "Bacterial small subunit ribosomal RNA", at positions 28 to 482 of the family's 1533-position model. The record is from RNAcentral.
GGUAAACGCUGGCGGCGUGCCUAAAACAUGCAAGUCGAACGGAUAGUCGCAAGAUUAUCAGUGGCAGACGGCUGAGUAACGCGUGGGUGACGUGCCGAUAGGUGGGGAAUAACUGCCCGAAAGGGUGGCUAAUACCGCAUACGUCCACUGAUUCGCUUUCAGUGGGGAAAGCUUCGCAAGAGGCGCCGAUAGAGCGGCCCGCGUCCGAUUAGCUGGUUGGUGGGGUAACGGCCACCAAGUCUGCGAUCAGUAACUGGUGUGAGAGCACGACCAGUCACACGGGCACUGAGACACGGGCCCGACUCCUACGGGAGGCAGCAGUAAGGAAUAUUGGUCAAUGGACGCAAGUCUGAACCAGCCAUGCCGCGUGGAGGAUUAAGGCCCUCUGGGUUGUAAACUCCUUUUAUCUGGGAAGAAAUGCAGAAAUUUCUUUUCUGCUUGACGGUACCAGA